GCAAGUGGAGCUCAGAAUGUGAUGGUCUUGCUGAGUGGAGGAAACAGAGAAGUUCAUGGCUGCUGAAAUGGAUGGGAUUCACAGGAAAAAGUUGUAUGAUUCCUGCCCACACUGGGGAGAGCAAUCUAUGGAGGCUACUGAGUUGAUUACUAAUGCCUUCCAGAAACACCCUCACAGAUAUACCCAGAAAUAGUGUUUAACCAGAUAUUUGGGCAUCCCCUGAUCCAAUCAAGUUUAUACAUAAAAUUAAUUAUCAGAGUACAGUAUAAAAAUUCACGAUACAUUUCAGAAGACAGUGAAGUAAAGAAAGGAGCAGCAAGAUGACCUCAGCAAAUUUCUGACUACAAGUACCCGCUGGAUAACUAGACACACCUGAUAUUCAUCAACAGCUUAUUCAGCAGUGGAUUCCACAUCAUAGAGGUGUUGAGCCCAAGAGCGUUUGUUAAUUCACUUCCUGCUCUAAUCUCCACCCCAAUGUCAAUUUCCCAGAGAAUGUAACCUGCAACACACUGCAAAAUCCCUCAAAGUUCAUAGUGGCUCAAGAAAAAGGACAAACAUGUUUCAAAUGCAAACAAGAAGAAAAGCUGUUGCAGCAAUCUGGAUACUCAAAGUGAACAGAUGAUGUACUCCAAGCUAAAGAUCUCAAUUUUGACCUCUUAUUUAUUGGACCAUAGUAUUAUAUACAAAUUACACGCAUAACUUAUAUACAUAUAUAUGUGUGUAUAUAUAUAUAUAUAAAUACACACGUAUAUAUAUAUAUGUUGACACAUACACUUACAUAUACAUAUAUGUCUGUGUAUAUAUUAUGUGUGUGUGUGUAUAUAUGUGUGUGUGUGUGUGUCUGUAUUAUUUUUAGGGUACCCAGCAAUUUUUUUUAAAAAACCAGAAUUUUAAGAUAUGCAGACACAGAAAUGACUGUCGUAAAGAGAGAUGGUUUCCCUCACAGGUUCCUAGAGACAGGAGACACUCCAUACCACAUAGGGCCACAUAGAAAAGCAUCAGGAUCAUUCAAGUAGCAGAGUAAAUGAGGGAAAACAGGUGCAAGAGCCUUUAUUUUAGUUUCUCUGAGAAGAAAUGGGUUAGGCAAGGUAACAAGCCUAGAAUUGGCUAGUUUGAAUAAUUUCAUUGGGCACUGAGCAUCCCUAGUUGUCUAAUACCUGGUCCUAGAAUGAUUAAGGAAGGAAGAUAGCAGCCCAGAGUGUAAGAGCCGAGUAAAAGUGGUAGCUGGGGCCAUGCACUGUGGAUUGGUUGGUUUGCAUAUGAAAAACACACUCACAGAGUCCCCAAGUUAUUAAAGUAUCAAAAAUACAGAAAGAGACACAAUUAAUAUAUACAUAUAUAUGUGUUUUGUAAUUUUUUACACGUUCUUUUUUUUCCGGACCACAUGGGACAUUUUUACAGUUAUGUUAUGUAUAAUCUGUUCUCAAUAAGUACUUUCAUUAUGUAUUAUUUAUUCAAACUCAUUCAAAGUGAAUCUCAAGAUGCUAUUUAUACAACCUAUCCUCCUCUUGGAAAAUAUACUUUUUAAAUCAAGAAGCUGUUCUUCUCAUUGUUACCCUUUGGCUUAUCUUCUUGACUUAUUUUAUAAUCAAUUACAGCACACAAGCUUAACUUACUUAAAAAGAUCAUAGUUAUAUAACAGUUCGUUCUUUUCCUACCAAUUUCUCUCAAAACACACAUCCUUUAUCCUCUUAACACAAGAGCAAGCAAACUUAUUUUCCUGAUUUGAAACUCCAAAGCACAUUUUAUUAUUUCAGCUGCUCACCUGUUUUCAAUUCCUCAAGAGUUUCACCAUAUAAACAAGUCACUACUUAGCCAGCUCUUUUUAUUCAAAUGCAAUAUUAACAUUGUAAUCUACAAACUAUAAAUCCUGACUCGGAAAAUAUAGGGACCAUCAAUAGUGGGUUGAUAUAUUCUAAUUUCCAAAAGAAGAACACUAACAUUAAAGAAGUCAUGUGCCCUGCAAAAUUUUUCUUUAAAAAUUAAGGAUAAAUAAUGGUAUCCCAAUAUAAAAGAGGAACUUUGUCACUAGCAAGCCAUCCCUACAAGAAAUACUAAAUAAAUAAAUUUCCUGAGGAUAAAAUGUUGAAAUAACAAGAAACUGAUCAGUAACUUGAAUCUAUAUGAAGAAAUGAAGAGCACCAGUAAGGAUAACUACACAGAUAAACAUACAAGACAACAUAAUGGAUGUUUUGGGUACAACUUAUUUAUCCUACUUGAUUUAAGAGACAAUUGAAUAAAGCAGCAAAUAUUAGUUUGUGUUCUUGGGCAUGUGCUAUGGCUUGGAUAUGGUUUAUUUGUCCAGACCAAAAGUCAUGUUGAAAAUUUGAUUCCCAACAUGGUGGUGCUGGCAGGUGGGGCCUACAGGAAGGUAUUUGGGUCAUAGGUAUGUAUCCCUUAGGAGUGGCUAUGUGCUGUUCUCCAGGUAGUGAGUGACUUCUUGCUCUCAUGAGACUGCAGUUGUUCUCACAGGAAUGGAUUAGUUCCUGAGAGAGUGGAUUGUUAUAAAGCCUGAGGACACCCCUCAGGUUUUCCCUCUUUGCAUGUUUUCAGUUCCCCUUUGACCUUCCCAGCCAUGUUUUUUUGCAACAUGAAAGCCCUGGCCAGAAGCCCUUGAACUUCUCGACCUGUAGAACUGUGAGCUAAAUAACUUUUUUUCCUUAAAAUUUAUCCAGUCUCAGAUUUUUUUUCUAGCAACACAAAAUAGACUAAGAGAGAAUGGAAAGUAUAAAGGUGUAAUUUGUAGGACUAUAUCAGCAAAAAGGAGGAGAGAGAAAAUAAUGUUAUAUGUAAGGGCAAAUUUCUUGAAUACUAUUGAAAUUAAUUUGCUAUUAAUCCAAACUAGAUCAUUAUAAAUUCAGCCGCAAAUUAUAAUCCUGGGAGAAACUACUAGAAACUGUCAAUUAUGGGUGUGUGUGUGUGUGUGUGUGUGUGUGUGUGUGUGUAUGAUAAAUAUAAUUGGCAAUGGAAUUAAAAUGGCACACUAGAGAAUAUCUAUAACAAAAGUGGGAAGUUAGGGAGAACAGAUGGAAAAAAACAACUUAUUACAUACAGAAAACAAAUAGCAAAAGGCGUGAUGGUCAGAG
RNAcentral lists this long non-coding RNA (3086 nucleotides) under Homo sapiens (human). RNAcentral describes it as "HSALNT0073067". The record is from RNAcentral. Lineage: Eukaryota; Metazoa; Chordata; Mammalia; Primates; Hominidae.